Ciona savignyi (Pacific transparent sea squirt) is the source of this 72-nucleotide non-coding RNA. NCBI's taxonomy places the organism in Eukaryota, Metazoa, Chordata, Ascidiacea, Phlebobranchia, Cionidae. The record is from Rfam.
GCUGUGAUCGUAUAGUGGUUAGUACUUCACGCUGUGGCCGUGACAACCCAGGUUCGAAUCCUGGUCACAGCA